GCGUCAGCAGCACAUAUUCUGAAUUUGGAAGGGAAGAUUAGCAUAUCCCCUGUGCAAGGAUGACAUGAAAAUACACGAGGUGUCACUGAUGGUA
Molecule: small nuclear RNA, 94 nt
Filed under: Microtus ochrogaster (prairie vole)
Lineage: Eukaryota; Metazoa; Chordata; Mammalia; Rodentia; Cricetidae
Source: RNAcentral